CUAAGAGAAAGUACUGGAAAAAUUGCAAAUCCUGUUCCUGGGCUGAAAGUGGAUCAUAACAUCCAUAUAAGAUAUUUCCUUAUGUAUCAUCUCUUAAGGUUUCAAGUAACAUGACUGAGGAGAAGGAACAUUAAUCAAGGUGUCAUCUUCCACUUUUCCCUCAGGCAAAACAAACAAACAAACAAAAACCCCAACAAGCUACCCUUCCUGUUGAAAUAUUUGUAUUGGGGAAGAAGAUUGCAAAAGAUCACUGAGUGACGGAAAAGAAGAAUUACUAAGUUGUGACUUUCCAGGCUGUUACAGUUGACUGGGUGCUUGUUACUCCAAAGAUGUGUUGGUUCUUUGCUGCGUUAUCAAGAGGCCUGUUAAGCAAUGCUGUGGCUCCUGCCUGAAGCCAUCCUGGGAAGCUGCUCUUCCAGCAUGCAGGGCUCUCACUUUUGCUAACGCUUUCAGGCCAUCUGCUUUUUGUUCUGUGAUUUCCUUCUUUCUCCUUCCUUGUUGUGCACCUCACUGCUUUGUUAGUCAUUCCUACACCCCCUCCAGUUCUUUUGUGCUGCACGUUCUGAUUUAUAUCUAAUGUUGGAAGACUGUUUGAUACCCUGCUCCCUUUUUUUUGUUUCAGUUGAAUUCCCAGAAAUGUAGUGCAGGGGGUACCCAAGAUGUAGUACACUCCCUCUGGAGAUCUCUAAAUCACCACUUUUAUUUUACUCCUUAAUUCUUCGUUUCUCUCUGAGCAUAAAGCUUGUCCAUCUAUUUGACUUCGAAGACCACACAUUUUCUAAAUCAUGCACGCUGAGAAGGAUGUAUUAUAUAUACAUUAUACCAACCCACACACUUUGGGUCACUGUCAGGUCUUCAGGGAGACUUGUGCACAGUGUGAUAAUAGUGUAAAUGAUAUUCCUCUGCUGUAAAGUACUCUUUCUAAAUGAUCUCUUCUCUCUUCUGCACUCCUAUGCAUUCUCCAUCAGUUCGAUGGCUGUUACAGCAACCAAAAAUGAAAGAAUAAUUUUUGUACCAUAUCUAAGUCUUACAUGCAAGUACUGGAUUAUUAUUAUUUUUUUAAUGGGUUAAAAGCAGCAGCUUUUAUUGAUGAGGUAUAUGCAAUUUUAACUAAGAAAUUUUCACAGUGAUAUUUUUUAGGAGCUGGAAGGUAUACUGUGUAAAGGGCUGUCUAAUAUGUGCAACAGUUUUUGUGCAUUUUCCAAGGGAACUGACAACUUGCAUCUGUUACAGAUAAGAUACUCUUAAAGGUGGUCCGAAACUGAUGCUUCUCUCACUCCAGUACAAGGUUUUCAUUUUUAUUUGUUUUGUUGGUUUUUUUUAGUUUGUUUGUAAUUUCAGUUUGUUUGUUUAAUGAACUGUCAUGUUGAUUGUCUGAACCUACAGCUGGAAUAGCAUUUGUGUAAUAUACUGUUACUUUAUACUAAGUGUAAAGUUAAAAUUUUAGGACUUUGCCAUUCUAUCAUCAAUUUCAAAUUUUCCCUGAGCCACUGUUUCUGACAAUUCAUUUGAUUCUCUUGAUAAACAAGCUACUUGUUACAGUGAAUGUGGUCAAAAAUAGCUAGAAUAUUUUGCUACUCAGCAGUGCUCAUUUUAUACUGGAUGUUUAAAUCUUGGUUGCUUCAUGCUUAUUGUUGAUGGCUUUGAUAACAAUGAUUACUCAUCAGGUCUGUUUGACUAGCUGAUUGCAUAGCUUCUGUUAUAGAAAUUAUGAGGCUGGUCAGCUUCAGAAGGUAUGAACCACUCAUUCCUGGACUAGCGUGGACUUUAUUUCCAUUAUCUUGGGAUAUUUGAGUUAAAUGGAUGAAACAUAAAAUUGCUUCAGUCACAAUGAACAGAUAAAUAUGUUGUUGAAAUCUCCAGUGAAUUUUUUAUGAGUACCAACUUAAUACCUCAAUAAAAUUAAUUUCCACAUGUAUUUGCCAAACCUUCCCAGUGCAGAGGUUGUUUGAAUUUGGAGGUCCAGAAGGGUUUCUGAAAUUUCACUCUGCUUCUGCAUUGGGAUAGCACCCAGGUAUGUGUUAUCUCAUUCUCUCUCUCUCUAAGCAAUUAUUUGAAUGAGAGGAAAACACGAAGAAACAGAGAAUGACAGAAUCAUUCAAUGAUCAGGGCACAUAACUGAGUUAGAUUUGCAUGGGAUCAUCAGUCCAGGGCAUGUGAUGCUUUACAGCUCCCUCCAGUUUAGGCAUUAUGAUUUUAAGUAAGAAGGCAAGAAAUAUUUAUUGAUAUGUAUACCUGCUGUCUAUCUGGUCUCAUGCAGCCAAACAGUGUUUGAGAGACUUUUCUUACAUUGAAACAAUAAUUUCAUAGGAAGACAAACAUUCUGCGAACAAUUUUCAGUUUUCAGGACAGUUACAAUAUCUUCCAUUUACUUAUCUACUUAUCUAUCUAUCUGUUUGUCUGUGUGUCUGUCUAUAUAAUUUUAAAGUCCCUCUAGCAAAUUUCUGAGGAGGUCAAUGUGCCAAGUAAAUGCAACAUACUCGUAAGGAAUAGAUUUUACAUGUUACUUCUAUAACACUGUGUGUGUUACUGGUCUCAUAAUUCAUUUUUCAACACUUUCAUAAUUUGUUUGACUAAUAAAAAUGGGCAAAUUUUUAUAAUUAAGUUUUUAAACCCUGCUGCCCCUUCUAGAUAACAAACUUAUUUUUUUCCUCCCAAUAGCUUUAAUUCCUUAAUUUGUCAGGAUAAAUGAUGCAAGGUGGUCUUGCUAGCAAAAAAUAGCAUUGGAUUAAUCUGGAUCAGUGAGUCCUUUGCUUCAGCCUGAUAAGAGGUGAGAAAUAUUUGCCUUUUCACAUUUACAGUCCAAAGGGAUAUUCAGAGAGGAAAACUGUCUCUGUAUGGUACAAUUCCAUGCUUGUAGCACUGUUCUUCUCUGCCUCUUAUAAUGAAAGCUGAACCAAAAGACUCUCUUGGCUUUGUAAAAACUUAUUCCUCAUUGAACUGAAUCCGUGAAAUCUCUAUUCCUUCAGGCUCUUCUGAAGCAGAAUCUAUUACCUAUCAGCCCAUAACGUAUCAUGACACAGUAAGGAACUGGCAGGAGGUGAAAUAAAAGCUUAGACCACUGAUGUGCUUGAUGUUCCUUCUAAUCAAGGCAAAUAAUUCUUCAGGCUUCAUUUGAAUCUUUGAACUUUUUUUGAAUAACUUUGUGGAAAACAUAGGGCGCUUGCAGAAUUUCAGAUAUAACAGCAUUUCCUGAAAAAGUCCUCUAAGAGGCUUUCAUAAUCCUAUGUGAUUUUCAGUUUUUAUCUAUUCUUUUUGUCUGAUGGCUGCCUAUGAGGAAAAAAAGAAAAAAAAAAGAUAUUUGAAACCAAAUUAUAUUUAAACUUCUAAAUUCAUGCAGACAGGUUCCUUGUGUUCUUUGAGUAUCCAGUUACCAGCUCUCUUCUCCAUAGAUUAAAACUUCCUUUCAUUAGCAGGUACUCAUUUAUAUCUUCUUCAUUUCAGGAUUUAAGGAUUCAGUUGCUAGUACCCUACUCAUUUUGAUUAAAAAGUCAGAAAAGUUACAAGGGCUUUUUAGUCUAAGCUCCAGGGAUCAACAGUGUAUCUUCAUUUUUUUCUGAGCUGGUUCUGGAAACAAUCAUUUGCUAGUAGUUUCAUCUUUGGCAAAAUUUUCUCUUAAUUUUUACAUGCCUCAGUAAUUUGAAGAUGAACAUUCAAGGGGGUUUCAAGCAACAUUACUACAUUUUCAGUUGAUUAAAUGCAUAUUUAAGCCCUAACUUAUGGCUGUUCUGUACAUAAUUAAGCUUCCUUUCCUCUUCCUGUUCCUACAUUAAGACUCAAGUUCAUUAGACAACACAGUGAAGAGUAUUCUAAUACUUCAAGAUAGUAGAGAAUACUGAAAUCUUAUAGCUAUCCAUGCUAUUCAUAGAGAGAAUAGAAUUCCUUCUGUCCAGACACACAGGUGCGAGAAGUACUGAGCAAUCAACUAGGCAAUUUUCUGUGCUAAUACACAGGUCUGAAGGUCUGCAGUUCAACAGAAAUACGCUUGGCUGGCAUAUGUAUCUCCAGGAAGCUGAGGAUAGAAGGAUCCUGUAGCUGUGCAAUUGAUAAGCUGGAAGAUUAUUCACUCAUACUGAAUUAUAUUUUCUGUCACAGCUAGUAGCUGUUUGCCAGAUUGCUAUCUCCCCACAAUACCAGUGGCUGCUGUAGCACUAAUACAACAUGGAACACUAAUAAUAUGUGAAGGCAUUUUUCAGAGAUCAGUAAUAAUCUACCUGGUGGCAGUUCCUGACUGACAGUUUAUGUGUACUCCCCUGUGCUUGUCUUCUCAUCAAGAUCUUCAGCUACCUUUUGAGAACAUGCAUUCUGGAACAGUUCUUACACAGUUUUCAAAUCAGCUAUGUUUCAUCUAUGGCUAAAGGAAGGAGUGUGCCAAAUAUCUUUGUUUGUAGACUUAAUUUACCUCUCCUCAGAGGCAGACAGAGACAUUUAAAUCUUUAAACUCCACUCCGUUUUUCAGACUGAAUAUUCUUUUAUAUUUAAAUGCCAUGAAGGCAAUAUGCACGAUCGAUACUUAUUUAGAGGAAGUCUUUCCAGCUUACCACAACUAUGUUUAGAGCAACAGUCAGUUCAGUCUUCAAUAAGGCCAUGUGUUUUGUCUAGCAGAGAAAACUACAAUACUCUGGAGAAGGCUUGCAAAAAUAAAUGUUGACAUUUCUUUAAUGUUCUCGAAUCUCUAUAUUCUUGCCACAGAGUCACCGCUGUAAAUGGAAAAUAAAAUCUGACUGGCAAUAGAUGAGUAGCUCUUGCUAAGAAGCAAAAACACUCUAAAUUGUAAUAAUCUCCAGAUGUAAAUAUUGUAGAGGCCCCUGUACAUUUCCUCUUCAUCACGUCUUCUGUAUGUUUUUCUCAGAAUCAAGAUGAAUGCUCAUAUAUUAUCACAGGACUCCUGGAACUGAAGUCCUCAAAAUAGCACAUAUCUUUGAUAAAACUAGAAAACAUAUAAAGGUUUGGGCAAAAGAAUCAGAAUGUAAUAUGAAGGUUGCUGGGGAUCAUCACGUCUCCCAUGGCAGUUUACUCAAGAAAAAAUCUGGAUAUUUUGCUUUAAGAAGGGAAAUCUGAGAUUCUUCUUCAUCAGGACACGAAGUUUUGCUGAUGGGGACACCUGCUAAUCCCUCCCAGCCCCUCUGCGUGUCACUGAGCACACCACUCAUGCCAACCUGCCUGAAUUCAACUGUCAACCACCUUUCUUUGAAUGCAUCUACUUCUUGCAGCUUCUGUCAUUAACAUCGUAAUAAAAUAAAUUUGUACUACUGUUUUCA
Numida meleagris (helmeted guineafowl) is the source of this 5261-nucleotide long non-coding RNA. RefSeq lists it as uncharacterized. The transcript is spliced from 3 exons. NCBI's taxonomy places the organism in Eukaryota, Metazoa, Chordata, Aves, Galliformes, Numididae. The record is from RefSeq and is a predicted model, not a curated record.